Long non-coding RNA from Procambarus clarkii (red swamp crayfish), 5493 nucleotides. RefSeq lists it as uncharacterized. The record is from RefSeq and is a predicted model, not a curated record. Lineage: Eukaryota; Metazoa; Arthropoda; Malacostraca; Decapoda; Cambaridae.
AUUGUUAUUGUUGACAUUAGUGACGUCACAAACCACGUGCUCACCACAUGUGAGGGGACUCGUGGAUCAAUAAUAAUAAAAAUAAAAAUUAUUAUUAUUAUUGAUCCACGAAUCCCUUGUCGGAAUUCCCUCAAUCCUCGUCGCUACUCAAGUUCAAGGCCCAGAAAGCGGUGACGACGUAACACCACAAAGACCAUCCCUCCUCCUCACUUCCUUCCAGCUCCAGGCCCCCGAAGGAGAGGGGCAGCGACACAGCAGGGGUGGAUCGGUGGUGGUGGACGUGUGGGCUGAUGGGGUGUGUGGUGUCAUUCUUGAGGUCACUGCGAUCCUACCACGGGUCACAUCUCACUCCACGACAGCUAGAACGACAGCGACGGCAGCGGUCACAAACCUCACAGAGCCGUCCCACACGCCCUCCCACACCUCCCAGUUCCCCUGAAGACGACGAGCGCCGCGCCCUCAGCUUCGAUGGCGGCCACGCCUCAUACAGCACCCCCACACCCAUCUCACCACCCACGCCCAAGUCCAAGCCCAAGGCACCCAAACUCUUCAAGGGCAAAAGAUAAAGGGUGACCUGCAAAGUGUGACAGGUUGAUUUGUAAACUGCAACUUGCCGAUCUGUAAUGCAUGAUUUGCAAUAAGCCGUCACAAGAUAUCGUUGCUACAUGGCCGAUAUUGUGCAAUUGUUCAGCCUGUUCAGGCUGGACAUUGAGGCCAAUGCAUCGAAAACGUCAAUAUUACAGUGCUACAAUUUUUCUAUUACCUCACAUUUUUAACAAAUUGGUUGAUUCCGUAAAAAAUGCAACGUAUUAGGUUGCCAUCACUAAUAGAGGCAACUAUUAGGACGCAGAGGACACAGCUCGUUCUCUCGAUUGGCUUAAAAAUAGAAAGCUAUAGCAAGAGUCAUUAGGAAUCAAGCUACAAUAUAAAAAAACAAAAAAUGGAGUACUGUAGUUAGGCAAGUGUAUGUGGAAUUUUAUUACUCAUUUUAAAUUAAAUUGUAGGUUAUUUGCUUCUGUAUAAUGAGACAGUCUGACAUAUGUAUCAGCUGUAGCUGAACGAAGACCUUCCAUUAUAGGUUAGAACUUUCGCAAACUCAAAUUUCCCAAAAGAAUCCCUUUUUAUUGAAGACAAAUUUUCUAACACCGUCCAAACGUAAAAUUAGGCCAUUUAUUUUUUUUAGCGUUGAUGAUUCAUGUCAAGUGGCUCAAUAAAUCAUGAUUUUGUUUAAUAUGAUUAAUAUACUGUAGUCAUAAAUGACACAAUUUACUUGGACCGGUGUUCCGCCUCUCUAUGAGAUACAUUCGACCAUAGAACCAUGAGGCUGCUGUGCUAUAUCACUCCUUGAAAGUGAGCUGGCUCUGUGGUAAACUGCCCUACAGAACAUUGAGGCUGUGGUAUACUGCCCCACAGAAAUGUGACUAUGGUGUAUUGAUCUAGAGAACAGUGGUGUGCUGUGGUAUACUACCCCAAUGGUAUACUCCAAAGAACAGUAUGUCUGAGAUCUGCUCCAGAGAGCAUAUCUCAUCAAAAAUUUAAAAAUACUGAACAGUUUGGAGGAUAUUGAUCCAGACCGCUUCUUCAAAAGGUCAGAUGUAACAUAAACAAGGAGCAACAGUUUCAAGCUCAACAAGUCACAAUGUAGUUUUUCACCCAUAGGGUUAUAAACCCAUGGAAUCUCUUACCUGCAGAAGCCAUAAAUGCCAAAACACUGCUGAUUUUAAAAAUCCAGCUCGAUAAACUCAUCAGGACAAAUGGGGAAACAUUUGACAAGCAAUCAGCAUCCUGUCCCUCAUCGAGGCCACUGAUGUUCGUCCUUCAGAUGCAAAGAUGACCAUGACUUCAGUAUAUCAGGUUGGUGGCUGUGUGCCAGAUGAUGGAGGAUGAGACCAAUUUGGAUACGGAAGGCUCGCCCACACAUGGGACAUUUGUGAGUGGGUGCUGCUGCAGUGGUAUGACGGGGGUAGAAAUAGCCUAAGUUACUCUGUCCCUUUGAAAUGUAUUUUAUUGUCUCAAUAAAUGUACUUGAAGUUGCUGCAGAGGUGGAGAUUGCCCUAGCUUUGCGUGCAGUGCGUUUCCUCUGGGCCUCUGCAGUCCGUUUAUUUUCUGCUGCACGGGACCCCUGUGGUGACUUUGCUUUUCCAAGUUGGACGGUCCUGAAAAGCGACUCCUAAGUAUUGGUGUUGAUGUCCAAGCCUUUGAGGGUUACCUUGAGGCAGUCCUCGAGGCCACUAGUGAGAUUGUGGCCCCUCAAUUAAAUUCAGGUAAAUGAGGUGCUGUGGCUGAGGUACACUGCCCUACAGAGUAGUGGGAGUAUGUAAGUGACAUUAUCAAAAGAAGGUACCCAGCGUGAUAGACUACUGAGCACCAUAUGUCACAGAACAGUCAAUAGGUUCUAAAUAUAAUUCAGGAUGCAAACAUGUGCAAAAAAGAUAGGAUGAUUGAAGUCGAAGUUACUGGAAUUACCAUGGAUUUUACCUGAAGGCCACCAUCUAUUUAGUGACACAACAGGGACAGGAAACCAGUGGCUUGUCAAAGGUACCCCCAUUUUUCCUCCAACUAGAUUUUGAACUACAGUAAUGCCUUGUCAUCAACUCAUGUUAUGGAACAUUGGAAAAGCAAGAAUUAUGAUCAACCUGAAAAUCAAGACAUUCUAUGAGGAGGUGUGCAACUGGGAGUGGAAUAAUGCAGUUUGAAUAAUAAGACGCAGGUCUUUGUACCAUUAAGUACAGUACCGUAUACAGUACCAUGAGCGAGAGUUAAAUGUGCGAGACUAAUGAGGUCUAGCUAGAGCAGUUUCCCACCUAUUACAGUGUGUGGUAGGAGGAAGGCCAUAGAAAAAUGUAGCAUUUGAUAGUAUGUGGUUCAUUAGUCAUAUUACUAAACCAUCUCUCUCUCUCCCAGUUAAUUGUAGAUUGUAUUUUGAAUGAUAGGGUAGAAAUCAAAGUAAGGAGUUGAUUUUUAGAGAUAGCACGGAUACAAACAGCAUCAGCAGCAGCGAUAUCCAUGAGGUCAUUAGAUGCAACAUCAAUUGGCUACAGACUCUGCAAAAUUUGAAUGUCUUAUACUUAGCUGCAUAAAAGCAGCAAUGCACUGUGAGGCUUGCUGUACUGACCAAGAGAACCUUAGUGCUUUGUGGGUUUUUGAACGUUGGGGGCAUAAUAGCAUUCUAAUUGAAGGUAUAGUAACUAAUUUAGGUUACAGUAAUGGUAAUAUUGCAAAUAAUUAUAGUAAAAAUAAUGGCUGUAUUAUUCUGACAAGGUUUUGGCUGAGGGUGAAACUUGAUAGGUAUUCAAUGCUAAUAAUUGUUUACAGUAGUUAUAAUUGUUACUAUUAAAAUUAAAAAUAAUGAUAAUACACUAAAUACUGUAACACUUGAUAAUCUUAGUACCUGUAUAUAUUUUUCAAUAGCCUGAACAUUCCUUUGCCAGUUUAUGAUUGAGCUAACCUUUGCAAUACUGUACUCUAUUCAUGUGGUUUUACAUACAUUAUCUUUGAAUAAGCAUAUUAAAGGCAUAAUUUGAAGCUAAAUUAUUGUAUAAUUAACCCUCCUGGCAAUUAAAAUUAAAGAAUUACAAUUACUGAGAAUUUGUUUCUGGAAAGGGUAAUCAAUAUAGACCAAGGCUUUCAAAUACAUUAAUGUCACUAAGGUUUUUGAUACUGUUGACUACCACACAAAACACUGCCCCAGAAACUAUAAGCAUAUGUUAUUUGAUAAAAUACAGUUCACACACACACUACAAUGAAUUGACCUGAACUUAAUAAAAUCAUACUGGAAUAGAGCAGUCCAGCAUGCUGCAAGGAUCGUCAGGUUAGUAUGUUCCUUAAAAAAAAAAAAAAAAAAAAAAAAAGUCUAGUCCUUUAUUGUAUAGUUAGUACAUACAUUGGCAAAGCUGUCAGUCUGAAAUAUAUUGUGUGUACUACACCCCGUGUUCUUUUCUAUAUAUUUAAGGAUUUGUAAAGUAUUAUUAAAGGCUCUCAUAAUUUAUCUCCAGGAUGAAAAAGGAGGCUGUAUUAAUUUAUAAACCAGAGUUGCUUAGAUGUACAAGGUAGUAUCCAUCCCAUUUGUUCUAACAUACCAUAGGGCAUACCAGUAGGGUCAAGCAGUAAGGUUGUGGGGGUGACGAGCAUUAUUACUGCAAUGCACUGUUAGUUUAACUUUCGUGAUAUGAAUACUGUAUUAAUAAUUGCCAAUGUUUCCUGACCAUUGCAUGACCCUUAGAAUAUCUUACUGGAUAAAGAAAACCAAAACAAAAUUCUUGUCCCAUUUUAUAGUAGUGUGUAGUAAAGAGCACUGCAUUCCAAAUUUAGAACUACCAAUAUGUUUCUUUAGUAGUAGUUCAAAUUUAUACAUUUGUAGUAAAAUCCCAAAUACAAAAUAGUAUUUACAAUCACAUUCUAGUAAGAAAGCAAAAUGCUGACUGAAACAGCUGUGAAAAUAAGCUACUGUUUAUAUACAGUAUACUGUAUGUAUAAGUACUGUAUGAUUGUGUAUGUGUAUACAGUACAGUAUUAUAUACUAUACUAUACAGUGAGACACUCAAAAAUUCAGAACUCAGUACAAUGGAAAACCCCAGAAAUCCAAAAAGAUUUUGCUACCAGAAAUAUGCAAAUUCAGACAAAAUUUUGCCAUACUUUGCAGUAUAGUAUACAGUACAAUAUUGUACUGUAUAGGGAAAUCUGGAUCAACUCUUAUCUUUAACAUUUGUUGAUCUUAUUUUUUCUUUUUUACUCCUGUAUUCUAUUAUCUUUAUGGUAAAUAUUACUCAAAAAUAGCAAAGUUAUAAUUUACUGUAGUUAAACUGUAUUAAAAAUAAUAACACAGCAUAUUGUGACUGGCUCAGUUCUAGCACACAGUGUGGACCUGUCCCAGCCAUGCACAUAGUAUGGGCCUGACCCAGCCCCACACACACACACAGUAUGGACCUGACCCAGCCACACACAUGGUGUGAACCUGUCCCAGCCAUGCGCACUUUGCUCUAUUUGUAUGGUUGACCUUCUAUUACUCAGCAAAUAUUCAUUAAUUUUUCUUUGGAUACUCUCUUCAUCUGUGAGUAGAAAAUAUGUCUGCCAGCAAGAGAAGUCUGGUUAGACCAGGCAAAAGUAAGAGAUGUAUGUUAACAUUGUAAGGACAAACGUACUAAAAGUGAUUUUGACUGGGGAGUGAGACCACCCUUGGAGUAUGGUAUUGGCAUUAGCAAACAUUCUGAAAUGUAAAGCAAGGUUUUCAAGAGAUUGUUGCAAGGACAGAGUUCUGACGUCAAAGACAAUGAUAUAAUGGAACUCAGUGGCUGAAAUUCGACGAGUUAAAGCACGAAAUCCACAUUAUUAAAUGGAGUCUUGAAAAAGAUAAGUACAAAGUUAUGAUUUUAAUAAAUUUUCAAUAACUCUACCUUUUAUGAUGUGUAUACAAUGCUGUUUAAAUAUUUAAAAAUAUAGAUAUGUUUUGUAUGACAAUGUCAAAAACAAAAGAAAAUAAAUAUAAAUUGUGAA